Episyrphus balteatus (marmalade hoverfly) is the source of this 731-nucleotide long non-coding RNA. RefSeq lists it as uncharacterized. The record is from RefSeq and is a predicted model, not a curated record. The transcript is spliced from 3 exons. Lineage: Eukaryota; Metazoa; Arthropoda; Insecta; Diptera; Syrphidae.
UGAGAACCGUAUGUAAGGAAUGAAACUAUAGCUGAAACAGUCAAGAACCACGUUUAUCUCGAUCUACACGUCGUAUGUAAUAAAAAAGUAAGCCAGAGUCAACAAAAGCAAAGAACAUAUCCCAUAAGAUUCAUUAGAAGCCCGAUGACAUCUUCACAGAAGGAGGACGUGAGCAGAAGGUUAUACUGACGGUGGAGUUGUGGCUGCAGAGCCUAAGAAUGAAAUAUGAAAAUAAAUGGCAAGACAACGCAUCUGUUUUCUUCUUGGACAAUUCAAAGCAUCAUCAUCUUAGAAAAUAUGCUUAGGAUCCAAACAGUAGACCAUACAGAUAAUUCGAUGGCUGCUUACCCAUGCCCACGACCCAUCGCCGAAGGUUAACAAAUGUUGUACCACCAUCACAUUUCCAGGCAAAUAAACUUAAAGAAAUGCUGUGACAUAUGCUUUCGCCAACCCUAAAGUAAAGUCUAUACGCAUUUAGUUGCCGAUUGUCUGCACCAAGAGAGUGAAGAAGUACUGGAGCAUACCUAUCAUCUGGGAUUGAGCACCAAUCUUCUUAUCGAUGCCGAAAUUAUUUCCAUCGCUUAUGAAAUUACAAAUGAGAUUCUCCGUAUAUGGGCGAUUUAUUAUAAAUGUCUUUAGAAACAAUUCUAAUGAAUCAGAUUUAAAAUCCUUAGUUCGCCAGAAAGUAAAACUAUUGUUUUGUGCUGAAAAUGCUAUUCAAAUAAAAAAAG